UCCCUUCAGAAGUUGUGUUGGUGAAGAAGAUAAGCAUCCUCAAAUGGAAGACUGGUCUUUAGUCAAUGGUGUAUGAGCAACUAAACUCCCCUCCUAGAAUCUUCAAACAAACCCUCAUGGUUUUGUUUCUUUCUUUACUCACAGUUAAAGGUGUGGGUAAGCAUAGGAAGGGAAGGUAGC
Molecule: unclassified non-coding RNA, 180 nt
Organism: Cricetulus griseus (Chinese hamster)
Lineage: Eukaryota; Metazoa; Chordata; Mammalia; Rodentia; Cricetidae
Gene: 7SK
Rfam family: 7SK RNA
About the family: 7SK was discovered as an abundant small nuclear RNA in the mid-70s but a possible function has only recently been suggested.
Source: Ensembl